Molecule: long non-coding RNA, 2673 nt
Filed under: Homo sapiens (human)
Lineage: Eukaryota; Metazoa; Chordata; Mammalia; Primates; Hominidae
Source: RNAcentral
GUCUUGAGACAGGGUCUCACUCUGUCACCAAGGCUAGAGUGCAGUGGUGAGAUCAGAGCUCACUGCAGCUUCCACUUCCUGGGCUCAAGCGAUCCUCCUAUUUCAGCCUCCAGAGUAGCUGGGACUAUACGAAUGUUUUACCGCACCCAGUUCAUUUUCUAAUUUUUUGUAGAGAUGAGGUUUCACUGUGUUGCUCAGGCUGGUCUUGAACUCCUGGCCUCACGGAAUCCUCCUGCCUUAGUCUCCCAGUGGGCUGGGAUUAUAGGUAUGAGCCACCUCACCUGACCUGCGACGAUUUUUCAAUGAUGUAAUUUCUCUUUUACAGAGCCACCUAAGCUGAAGAUUCCCUUGAGAACAAGUACUGUCCCUGGUUUCCCAGUGCUGGAAUAUAGAAAAUGGAUGGACAAGUAAAUCCCACUCAGCACCCAUAGUCCAGGCGUGGGGACCUCAACACACCUGAGCCCCAGACAUCACCUUUCAUUGCGAGUAGCUCUGAGAUGACACUUCUGCUGUUCCCAAUUCCAGCAUUAAUUGGAUUAGAUAGUUAUUUUAUGAAGAAUUUUCAUAUGCCACAAUCCUGACCAUAUCUUCAAGUGAACAGAAAAAUUCUAUUAAAAAGUCAACCUUCUGUCUCACUCUGUUGCCCAGACUGGAGUGCAGUGGUGCAAUUAUGGCUCACUGCAGCCUCAACCUCCUGGGCUCAAGCAAUCCUCCUGCCUCAGCCUCACAAGUAGCUGGGACUACAGGUGCUUGUCACCACACCUCACUAAUUUUCCCAUUUGUGUUAUAUGUGGAUUCCACAGGACUGACUUCGAAAACUUGAGUAUGCGUGGAUUUUGGUAUACACAGAAAUGGGAGAGCUGGAACUAAUCCCCCCAUAUACCAAGGGACAAAUUGUAUCUGUUUUUACAAUUAUACAGUAGGAGACAUUAUGUUCCAUGACAAUGGUAAUUUUUAACGACAGUUUUUAAUUGAGUGAAAUUACCAUAAAAAUAAUAAUAGUAGCAGCUAAUAUUUACUGAGCUGUUACUAGGUGCCUAUAAAUAGCAUAGAUUUUUAAAUUCUCCAUAAUUCUUCCUUAUUUCACUUAACCACUCUAUCUUAAAUUACUCAUGCUUGCCUCAGUAGCACACAUACUUAAGUUGGAACAAUAGAGAGAUUGGCACGGCCUCUGUGGAAGAAUGACAUGCAAAUUUGUGAAGCAUUCCAUAUUUUUUUAAAAAAAGAAAAAAAAAUUACUCCCAGAUUUUCACUGUGUUUGUGCAUAUGACCUUUUGUUUAGGUUGAAUUAUAUCCAAAGGUGAAAUUUCGAGAAGUGAGAUUACUGUGAGUCACAGGGCAUGAGCAUUCUUAUUACCCUCGAUGUAACAUGCCUGGGGUAUCUGUGUCUUUUCCAUUUAUUUAUAGAGUUACUUUGUCUUUUACUAAUUCAAUGAUCUGUUUAAUCUUUUAUUAAAUUAUAAAAAUAAUAAAUACUUUUAAAUAAGUGAAAAAUGUCCUUCACUCUUUAGACCCAUAAUCUUAUCUCAGGAAAUAAUUGCAGUUGAGAAAAUGGGCCAUAUCCUUCAAGAUACGUACAUGGUGAUUGAACAUCACUUCAUAUUUUCAUAUUUCGUGGACAUUUGUGCCAAUACCUAUUGAUCUAUCUUAAUCCUUUUCAUGGUUGCAUAAUAUUUUAUUAUAUGGAUGUGUCACAAUUUACCAGUACCAGUCAACUGCUGGAGGCAUUUAGGCUCCUUCUAAUAUUUGCUUUGAGCUCUUUAUAUAAUUAAAAAUUAACCCCCUCAGCCAGGUGUGGCAGCUCACACCUUUAAUCCCAGCAUUUUGGAAGGCUGAGGUGAGAGAACUGCCUGAGUGUAGGAGAUCACCACCAACCUGGUCAACAUAGUGACACUUUGUCUCUACUAAAAAUUAAAAAAAAAAAAAUGAGCUACACGUUGCAGUGCACACCUGUAGUCCGAGCUACUGGGGAGGCUAAGACUGGAGGAUCACUUGAGUCUAGAAGGUUGAGGCUGCAGUAAGCUAUGAUCACACCAUUGCACUUUAGCUUUGCUAAGAGCAAGACUGCACUUCUUAAACAAAAUAAAAAUUAGAUGGGAAUAUUGCUCAAGCCCUGGAGGUUGAGGCUGCAGUUAACUGUGAUUGCAGCACUGCAGUCCAGCCUAGGUGAUAGAGCAAGACCCUUUCUCUAAAAAUAAAAUAAAAUAAAAAUUAACCUUCUAUCAUAUUUCCCAGUAACACCUUCCCUCCUACAUUUCUCCUAGAAGCCCUUAAAUUUUGUUUUUCACAUAUCGUUUAAAACUUUUAAGCGCUGAUGUCUGUCUGUGUCAUCCCUCUUUUUUUUUUUUUUUUAAAUGUCUUUUUGUCACUUCUAGCUGGACCUACCAUGAAAGACUUCUGAAUCCAGGAAGAGAAACUGACUGGGCAACAUGUUAUUCAGAUGGGGUCUUCUUAUGUUGCCCAGGUUGGUCUCAAAUUCCUAGGCUCAAGUGAUUCCGCCCACCUCUGCCUCCCAAAGUGCUGGGAUUACGGGCAUGAGCCAGCGCAUCUGGCCACCUUAUUUUCUAUUACUGGCUCAAUGUAAUGGCUCCAUCUCAGGAACAGCCAAUGAAAGAGAUGCACAGGACAAGAGAUGGGACCUCAGUAUGUUGCCAUGGCUGACCUUGAACUCCU